UAUUAUAGACAUCUUGAAGUUUGCCAUGGCUUUGGUCCCAUUCAUUUAUCAUGCUUGGUCUCUGUUUUAUGAUUGCUUGAAGUUGAUGCAUGUUUUGAUGCCUUGUAUGAGCUUGCUUGAACUUGUGUUGACUUGAUGAAUUUCAUUGACUUGCUUCCCUUGAUCUAAAUAAGCUGAAAUUCGGUGUGUAGGUCAUGUUGUGAA
RNAcentral lists this long non-coding RNA (204 nucleotides) under Lathyrus oleraceus (garden pea). Its description in RNAcentral is "Pisum sativum (pea) long non-coding RNA (PSAT_LNC024763)". The record is from RNAcentral. Lineage: Eukaryota; Viridiplantae; Streptophyta; Magnoliopsida; Fabales; Fabaceae.